CGAUCGCAGCGGUAGUGCUCGAACCCCUCAGAUCGGAGGAGGAGAGCGACUAGGGCGACGUGGCUAGAGUCCAUGGCUUGGAGGGAGAAACCGGUGGCGGAGCAGUCGAAGUUGGCGUCGGUGACCAGCUCGCGGAUCGCCUCCAUCAGCUUCUUCAGGAGACUGCCCUGCACCAACCGGAGCUCCAACAUCUUGUGAGAGUUGAUCGGCG
RNAcentral lists this unclassified non-coding RNA (211 nucleotides) under Hevea brasiliensis (rubber tree). The record is from RNAcentral. Lineage: Eukaryota; Viridiplantae; Streptophyta; Magnoliopsida; Malpighiales; Euphorbiaceae.